UUGCACGUUCUGCCAUGAAGAUUGGUCGCAUAGAGGACGUGACUCCAAUUCCAACUGACAGUACACGUAGAAAGGGUGGAAGGAGAGGAAGGAGGUUGUAAUUUGGAUCUUUUACCAAACAAAUGGAUAAAAGUUUCAUGUUUGAACUAGUUUUUUUGUUUACAUUUUCAGGACAUGUUUUGUUACUAAUUGUCAGAUUGAUAUUAUGACAAGGCUGAGUUUACUAUUCCCUAUUAAUUACCUAAAUUUUGUGGAAA
Molecule: non-coding RNA, 257 nt
Organism: Lactuca sativa (garden lettuce)
Lineage: Eukaryota; Viridiplantae; Streptophyta; Magnoliopsida; Asterales; Asteraceae
Source: RefSeq, a predicted model, not a curated record